RNAcentral lists this unclassified non-coding RNA (430 nucleotides) under soil metagenome. RNAcentral's name for it is "partial contains 5.8S ribosomal RNA, internal transcribed spacer 2, and large subunit ribosomal RNA". The stretch from base 1 to 120 matches the Rfam family "5.8S ribosomal RNA", at positions 35 to 154 of the family's 154-position model. The record is from RNAcentral.
GAUGAAGAACGCAGCGAAAUGCGAUACGUAAUGUGAAUUGCAGAAUUCAGUGAAUCAUCGAAUCUUUGAACGCAUAUUGCGCUCUCUGGUAUUCCGGAGAGCAUGCUUGUUUGAGUAUCAGUAAACACCUCAACUCCCUUUUCUUUUUUGAAAUUGGAGCUGGACUUGAGUGAUCCCAACGCUUUCUUCCAAGAAAGUGGCGGGUUGCUUGAAAUGCAGGUGCAGCUGAACUUUUCUCUGAGCUAUAAGCAUAUCUAUUUAGUCUGCCUAAAAAACAGAUUAUUACCUUUGCUGCAGCUAACAUAAAGCAGACUAGUUCUUGUGCUGACUGAUGCAGGAUUCACAGAGACAGCUUCGGCUGACUUUGUAAACUCGAUCUCAAAUCAAGUAAGACUACCCGCUGAACUUAAGCAUAUCAAUAAGCGGAGGA